AUUGAACGCUAGCGGGAUGCUUUACACAUGCAAGUCGAACGGCAGCGCGGACUUCGGUCUGGCGGCGAGUGGCGAACGGGUGAGUAAUGUAUCGGAACGUGCCCAGUAGCGGGGGAUAACUACGCGAAAGCGUAGCUAAUACCGCAUACGCCCUACGGGGGAAAGCAGGGGAUCGUAAGACCUUGCACUAUUGGAGCGGCCGAUAUCGGAUUAGCUAGUUGGUGAGGUAACGGCUCACCAAGGCGACGAUCCGUAGCUGGUUUGAGAGGACGACCAGCCACACUGGGACUGAGACACGGCCCAGACUCCUACGGGAGGCAGCAGUGGGGAAUUUUGGACAAUGGGGGCAACCCUGAUCCAGCCAUCCCGCGUGUGCGAUGAAGGCCUUCGGGUUGUAAAGCACUUUUGGCGGGAAAGAAACGUCGCGGGCUAAUACCCCGUGGAACUGACGGUACCUGCAGAAUAAGCACCGGCUAACUACGUG
Molecule: ribosomal RNA, 484 nt
Filed under: uncultured bacterium
Lineage: Bacteria
Description: partial 16S ribosomal RNA
Rfam family: Bacterial small subunit ribosomal RNA
Source: RNAcentral